AACGAACGCUGGCGGCAUGCCUAACACAUGCAAGUCGAACGAGACCUUCUGGUUUAGGGGCGAACGGGGUCGUAACGCGGUGGAAACUGCGCGUAUGUUCGGAAUAACUCUCUGAAAGGGGUGCUAAUAACGGGGAAUGUUUUCGGACCAAAGAUUCAUCGGCUUGGGGUGGGCCCGCGUUGGAUUAGCGAGGUGGUAGGGUAUAAGGCUACCAAGGCGACGAUCCAUAGCGUGUCUGAGAGGAUGAUCAGCCACACUGGGACUCAGCCACGGCCCAGACUCGUGCGGGAGGCGGCAGUGGGGAAUAUUGGAGUAUGAGCGAGAGCCUGAUCCAGCGAUGCCGCGUGAGUGAUGAAGGCGUUAGGGUUGUAAAGCUCUUUUGCCCGGGAUGAUAACGACAGUACCGGGAGAAUAAGCUCCGGCUAACUCCGUG
This 433-nucleotide ribosomal RNA is filed under the name uncultured bacterium. Its description in RNAcentral is "partial 16S ribosomal RNA". It matches the Rfam family "Bacterial small subunit ribosomal RNA", at positions 29 to 507 of the family's 1533-position model. The record is from RNAcentral.